Molecule: ribosomal RNA, 253 nt
Filed under: uncultured bacterium
Lineage: Bacteria
Description: partial 16S ribosomal RNA
Rfam family: Bacterial small subunit ribosomal RNA
Source: RNAcentral
UACGGGGGGAGCAAGCGUUGUUCGGAAUCACUGGGCGUAAAGGGAGUCUAGGCGGUUUGGUAAGUGGGAUGUGAAAUCCCCGGGCUCACCCCGGGACCUGCAUCCCAAACUGCUGAGCUUGAGUACAGGAGAGGGUGGGGGAAUUCCAGGUGUAGCGGUGAAAUGCGUAGAUAUCUGGAGGAACACCGGUGGCGAAGGCGCCCACCUGGCCUGCUACUGACGCUGAAACUCGAAAGCUAGGGGAGCAAACGGG